CACGGAGGGAGCGAGCAUUAUUCAUAUUGAUUGAGCGUGAAGAGUUUGUAGGUUGUUUUUUAUAGUUGAAAUAAAAAGCCAAAAGCUUAACUUUUGUAAUUUUUUCAAAACAAUUAAACUAGAGUUUAGAUAGAGGGUAAUGGAACUUCAGGUGUAGCGGUGAAAUGCGUAGAUAUCUGAAGGAACAUCAGUGGCGAAAGCGACUUCCUGGACCAAUACUGACGCUCAUGUGCGAAAGCGUGGGGAGCAAACAGG
This 255-nucleotide ribosomal RNA is filed under the name uncultured bacterium. Its description in RNAcentral is "partial 16S ribosomal RNA". It matches the Rfam family "Bacterial small subunit ribosomal RNA", at positions 524 to 776 of the family's 1533-position model. The record is from RNAcentral.